GACUGUCAGCAACGGAUAUCUCAGCUCUCGCAUCGAUGAAGAACGUAGCAAAAUGCGAUACUUGGUGUGAAUUGCAGAAUCCCGUGAACCAUCGAGUCUUUGAACGCAAGUUGCGCCCCAAGCCUUCUGGCCGAGGGCACGUCUGCCUGGGUGUCA
RNAcentral lists this ribosomal RNA (156 nucleotides) under Brassica napus (rape). RNAcentral describes it as "rRNA 5_8S_rRNA". It matches the Rfam family "5.8S ribosomal RNA". From Rfam's summary of the family: 5.8S ribosomal RNA (5.8S rRNA) is a component of the large subunit of the eukaryotic ribosome. The record is from Rfam by way of RNAcentral. Lineage: Eukaryota; Viridiplantae; Streptophyta; Magnoliopsida; Brassicales; Brassicaceae.